GAUGAACGCUGGCGGCGUGCCUAAUACAUGCAAGUCGAGCGAACGGACGAGAAGCUUGCUUCUCUGAUGUUAGCGGCGGACGGGUGUGUAACACGUGGAUAACCUACCUAUAAGACUGGGAUAACUUCGGGAAACCGGAGCUAAUACCGGAUGAUAUUUUGAACCGCAUGGUUCAAAAGUGAAAGACGGUCUUGCUGUCACUUAUAGAUGGAUCCGCGCUUCAUUAGCUAGUUGGUAAGGUAACGGCUUACCAAGGCAACGAUGCAUAGCCGACCUGAGAGAGUGGUAGGCCACACUGGAACUGAGACACGAACCAGGCUACUACGGGAGGCAGCAGUAGGGAAUCUUACGCAAUGGGCGAAAGCAUGACGGAGCAACGCCGCGUGAGUGAUGACGGUCUUCGGAUCGUAAAGAUCUGUUAUUAGGGAAGAACAUAUGUGUAAGUAGCUGUGCACAUCUUGACGGUACCUAGUCAGAAAGCAACGGCUAACUACGUG
This 497-nucleotide ribosomal RNA is filed under the name uncultured bacterium. RNAcentral describes it as "partial 16S ribosomal RNA". It matches the Rfam family "Bacterial small subunit ribosomal RNA", at positions 28 to 507 of the family's 1533-position model. The record is from RNAcentral.